GAUGAACGCUGGCGGCGUGCCUAAUACAUGCAAGUCGAGCGAACGGACGAGAAGCUUGCUUCUCUGAUGUUAGCGGCGGACGGGUGAGUAACACGUGGAUAACCUACCUAUAAGACUGGGAUAACUUCGGGAAACCGUAGCUAAUACCGGGUAAUAUUUUGAACCGCAUGGUUCAAAAGUGAAAGACGGUCUUGCUGUCACUUAUAGAUGGAUCCGCGCUGCAUUAGCUAGUUGGUAAGGUAACGGCUUACCAAGGCAACGAUGCAUAGCCGACCUGAGAGGGUGAUCGGCCACACUGGAACUGAGACACGGUCCAGACUCCUACGGGAGGCAGCAGUAGGGAAUCUUCCGCAAUGGGCGAAAGCCUGACGGAGCAACGCCGCGUGAGUGAUGAAGGUCUUCGGAUCGUAAAACUCUGUUAUUAGGGAAGAACAUAUGUGUAAGUAACUGUGCACAUCUUGACGGUACCUAAUCAGAAAGCCACGGCUAACUACGG
This 496-nucleotide ribosomal RNA is filed under the name uncultured bacterium. RNAcentral's name for it is "partial 16S ribosomal RNA". It matches the Rfam family "Bacterial small subunit ribosomal RNA", at positions 28 to 506 of the family's 1533-position model. The record is from RNAcentral.